GACGAACGCUGGCGGCGUGCUUAACACAUGCAAGUCGAACGGUAAGGCCCUUCGGGGUACACGAGUGGCGAACGGGUGAGUAACACGUGGGUGAUCUGCCCUGCACUUCGGGAUAAGCCUGGGAAACUGGGUCUAAUACCGGAUAGGACUCCUGGCUUCAUGGUUGGGGGUGGUAAAGCUUUUGCGGUGUGGGAUGGGCCCGCGGCCUAUCAGCUUGUUGGUGGGGUAAUGGCCUACCAAGGCGACGACGGGUAGGCCGGCCUGAGAGGGUGACCGGCCACACUGGGACUGAGAUACGGCCCAGACUCCUACGGGAGGCAGCAGUGGGGAAUAUUGCACAAUGGGCGCAAGCCUGAUGCAGCGACGCCGCGUGAGGGAUGACGGCCUCGGUUGGU
RNAcentral lists this ribosomal RNA (395 nucleotides) under uncultured bacterium. RNAcentral's name for it is "bacterial SSU rRNA". It matches the Rfam family "Bacterial small subunit ribosomal RNA", at positions 28 to 426 of the family's 1533-position model. The record is from RNAcentral.